GCUACAAUAAUCACAUUCGAACAUUUUGUUGGAAUUCGGAGAAUGUCCUUUCUCCCGGAAGAACUGUGGCGCCGAAUCCUAGAAAUCGGAAUCCAGAACAGCGGUUUCAGCUACAAGGAUCUCUGCUGCGUCUCCAUCUCAUGCCGCCGCCUGCGCCGCCUCUCCUCCGAGGAUCUUCUUUGGAACCGCCUUCUCUCCGCCGACUAUCCCCAACCCCAUCUUUCUUCUUCUUCUUCUUCCAGUUCUUCUAAAUCCCUAUAUAAAUUAAGGUUUGAGAGGGACAAGGAGAGGAGAAUAGCUGCUCAUAGGAGGGCUGUGUUGAGAAAGGAGAGCCAGAUUGCGGAACAUUCUAGAAGACUCAGAGAAAUUCAGACACGUGUUGCUCAAGAAACCGCCACAGCCACACAAACCGCUCAAGACUUGUCCAAUUUGCGUAGGGCCAGACAAGCCUUUGUAGCUUUGAAUGUGUGGCAACCGGAGGUUGUCCGGAGUAGGCAAAAACAAAUGGUUGAGCAGAGUGCUGUCCCUGCUGAAUGUCGGAUACACGGUCUUGAGAUGGAACUAAAGCUUUGUAAGCAACAGAUUGCAGGGUUGGAGUUGUUCUAUAAAGAUGAAAAGCGCAGGCUUGAUACUGCAAAAGAAGAGUUGGCGUCUAUGAAGUAUCACCCUAUGGAGGAGCAUAAGACCAUAAGCCAAGUGGAUAGAAAGCAUGUCAAGCGGAAGAAGCUGAAAAUAUGCAAUAGCUUACAAAAAAAUGAAACAAAACAGGAUAGAUGAAUAAUCCUUUUGCAAUUUUCUCCAGAGGAGGGACCAAACGUUAUGGUUUAUAUUUGUUGAUACAGAUCAGCAAAGUGGAAUGUUUUAUAUCUAUAAUAUAAAUCUGAUGCUGGUGUAACACAAUUUACACUUUCUACAUUUUCCAUAUUGACGCAUAUCUACAGAAUUUGCUUUUGGUAAAAACACAGGCAUUGUUUGAUCCAUCUAACUGAUCACAAAUGGAAAACAUUGCAUUGGUUGAUGUGUUGAUGAAAUUUGCUGAUCCUUCUUCCAUUGAAACUGGGAAAUUGUUCUGUCCAUGAAGACUGACUGCGCAAAUCCUCCUAUUACUGUACGUAGAAUGUAUUAGCAAUACGUAGUGAGAGCCUGAGGAACUUGAUGAAAUGCAGAUUGUAGCCUCUGGGCUUUUGGAAACCUUUAAGUUUGAGGAAAGCUAGAUCAAAGGAUGGAGUGUAUCAUAUGCAGAUUAAGAAGUACUAUUAGUGAAGUAUUUAAAUUAAAAAAAAAAAAAACAAUUUUAAGGGCUUCACAUGUUGUACCAUUAUUCUUUAGUUAGUUGCAUUACCCCAUUACAGCCAUUUGUUAAUGUUUUAGUUAUUUUCUACUGGUUUGAGUUAUAGCAUUUCUGUUCAGUUGCUGCAUGCUCCCUUGAAGCCAAAAUUCAUUGAAAAAAACCGUUAUUGUUAUGGGUAGGCUUAAAAACCAAUGGUAUACAUAUUUUUCUGUGUUGUUA
This is an unclassified non-coding RNA of Vigna unguiculata (cowpea), 1510 nucleotides long. The record is from RefSeq and is a predicted model, not a curated record. NCBI's taxonomy places the organism in Eukaryota, Viridiplantae, Streptophyta, Magnoliopsida, Fabales, Fabaceae.